GUGGCAUCUGAAGUGCGAUCACAGUCAACGUGGCAUCUGAUGUAGGGGGUUUUGCAAAACGAAAGAUUACGAUUAACUAAUUUCAGCUUUGCGUGGGGAACUAAAGUGACUUUGUCGAGCACUCUGACAGGCUUUGGUUUCUGGUAAUUAUUUAUACCAAAGUAGGGGUUUGAGGUUUUUCAAAGGAUGAGUAAUUAAGCGAGUUUCAGGGCAUGUGAAAGUGCAGUGCUUUUAUGAAACGCUGAAAUCAGCCACGCAUUCGGUGACCUCUGUAGUUGGUGACGAAGUUCACGUGGAAGAUCAUUUUCCUUGAUCACAGGAUCAAAAUGAUUUUGGGGCAAAUCGGAGAACGCGAUUCUAGUGACAGGACUUCCCAACAGAAUAAUAUUUUUUCCUGACCACAGUCGUUGGAGCGAGCGUUGACGUCCUUUUAUUGAUAAAUGUUCUCGCUGUGUCUAAUUCAUGUGAAAAUUUUGUGUGCAGAUUCGGUUUGUGAUCUUUACGGCACAACAUUUAACUGAAAAGAGUUUUGAGCGUCGGAAUCUGAGUACCUCUCCAUUAUGCGUUCACUUUACUUGGUUAACAGAGCACACACGUCCUUAAGUUCUGUGAAUUCCCUGUAUUGUGGAGGAAAUCUGGGUAAAUUAAAUAUGAAACAGUUGGUAUCUCUGGCUAGACUCUAACCCCACAGUUUUAUGCAGCCAACUGCGCCCGAGGACAGGGGUUCGUAUCCCCUCCUUCACUGGAUCCAGCGACUUCAGAAAAAGAUAGAAAAGAAUUGUGCGUGGCCUCAAACAAGAGACUGUAGAGCUGCUGGAAGGGAAUUUGUGGCCACAGGAAGACUUCAGUUAAACUGGUUAGGCCGCCAAGUCACAUUCUGAGCAGGCACCCUCGCGAAUGUAAGUUUUGGUCUUCAAGAACUCUUCCGAAGUCAAUGAUUACGAGUUGACUCUAAACAGAAGGACGUUUCGUGUUUGUGACUAGCAAAUUACGCACGUGACCUCCUAAUUUCAUUAAAAGUGUCGAGCCCUCGUCUUCGCCUCACUAAGGCGUCCAAUUCCUUCUCGCUGUGCUGAUGAUUGAACUUUGGCAUUGUCGUGUAUCAGUGGACAAUUUCUUCUGCAGAUUGUCAUAUUGUAAUGCAAUUAUAAGAGGCUACAAAUUAUAUUCGGUUUAAAUAAAAUUUCAGAGGAACUCUGAUUAAAAUUCUGUUGGUCAUUAGCAAACACGUGAAAGUAAGCUGGUUUAUGAAACUGAACUUACAAAAUAAACAACUGCAUAUAUUUUAAUGGUAAAAUGGGGCAGUCGUGUAAACAAAUGCUAGAUUGUUGCAUAAAUUAAUAAAUAUCGAAGCCAUUCGCCAGAAUUCAGAGUCCCAGGUUUGUUAUCGUGAAAGAAAUUCAAGUCUGCAAGAAAACGAAUAAAAAAUCCCUUCCCACGCAACUGCGAUACAAGCAUCAUCAACGUGUCUCAAAUAAAUUGUAUUAAUGUGAGUCAAUUUGACUGUAAAUAAAAAAUUAUGGGACAUGUCUGAUUAUUUCGACUCUCGACUACAAAAUUUCUGAAAUGACGUUUGUAGUCUGUGGGGACGAUUAAAACUAAAGUCUACACGCAGAAUCAUGCGUCUCGAAGUGGAAUACGCCGUAAUCAGCCUCUCCCGUAAUCUGAGUGUCAUGACAACUGGCUGGCAAGGAAUGCGAUGUUCCUGCCUGCAACCAGAAUUCAGUGGUCUGUUAAAUACAAAGAAAUUGCUACUUUGAAAGUCGAAUCAUAACCAACGUACAAAACGAGGAAGUUAUCGAACGUACGUCCUCCUAAGAGUCGAUCCGCUAACUGGCGAUUGAAGUGAAACCAGUCGUCUCAUUUGUUGUUGUUGUUGUACGAAACUUCACCUUGAGAAAUCAUAAAUUUGUAAAGGUCAUUCCAAAGAGAAGGAAAACCAGUUUUGAGGUCACACAUUUCACUUUCCUCCUGUUGGUUCGACGCGAUUAGAGUCUAACCUCAAAACUCCAGUCUCUUAUAAAGUGAGUUGCUGUUCUUUCCAACAAAUAACUUUAAUCUGCUUGCAAAAAUUCGAAAUUUGUGUUACCACUCACAAAAUAAAUGGAAUCUGAACCAUAUAUUUGGGUUACUUUGCCCCAGAAAAACCUUUUAUUUCCACUGUGUUGUUAACACAGUUUAUAGGUAAAGUAUUACAUAUUAUUCUCCUUUUUUUAGCAGUUUAUUGCAAUCUUUGAAAUAAUUCUUUUAAAUGUGAGUUAAAAAUAACCCAAGUUUUUGGGUUAUUGUGACCCAAAAUUCCUCCAAACUCAGUUAACGUGAGAUGCGAAUUCCUUAACAAUGUACAAGUAUAUAUAACACGUAAAAAUUAUGUAUUUGACAUAUAAUACAAAAUAUAAUUGUUUAAAUUAGAAUAAAGUCACAAAUUUGGAAAUUUUCAAAAAAAAAAAUGUAUCAGCAUAAACCAAAUUAACAAAACGCUCGGGAAUUACCGUAUUAGAGGUGAAAAACAAAAGCUAAUCGAAUUUUUUCAUUAAUAAAACAAAGACAACAACAAUACAAUAUUGUAGGUUAGGUUGCCCUCUUCAUUGCAUUCAGUUUUUGUUCAUGUCGUGAUGCAUUUAUUGUAAAUAGACUUUGCACUUAUUUGGUAUUUUAAAGAAAUUCUUCGGAAAAGAACCCAUUACAUUUUAUUUUGAAAGUAUAUUGCGAUCCGUCUGGUUCUGUAGGACGCGAUCUUCUUGGUUUGCAUUAGCAUUUGUGGCUUAAUUUAGCUCACAUUUCGUGCGAGGCAAAGCAACUCGUAAUACCGAGUUAACAGCACAAACAAUUAGUGCAGAAGAAUGACGAUUGCUAAUUGUAAAAUAAUUCUUAUAAUUGUGUCUCUUAAAGUAAGAACUUAUAUAGAUGUGCUUUCACAGGAUUUUCAAAAUGCAUGAAAAUUUUGUGUGCCUCUGCUCUGCUCUGUGCACGACGACGCUGAUUCAGAGAAUCUCGUGGAUUGGUUCGAUCUACUAGCUAGCCGGUGCAAAGGAGUUUCUCUUUAACUCGUGUAGCAUCCUAAGGAAAAGAAGUAACCCUCUUAUGUGGUGCAUUCCGUCAGUGUGAUUGAGAUGUCUCUUGGACACACGGACAUUAAUUUUUCACAUUCAAAUUUCCCCAUAUAUUAUUCUGUCAAAUCAAAAAGUCUGUAGUAUUCUAAAAGAAAAGAAAUCUUGCUAAAACUCGGAUUAAAUUAAAAUUGUCUGAUCUAAAUGAUGUAUACUAAAAUAUUACAUGGCCCUCACGAUGGAUUAAUCUGACAAGUGUCGUAUAUGAAUAUAAAACCACGGAGUUUCGUCUUUGCCUUUUAUCUCAAGUGAUCAUAGAGUAUAGUAUCAUUUUGUACGUAAACUAAUAUAAAAUUUGAGUGUUUGUAUUUUUAUCCUCUAAUCGCUUUGAUUAAAUCACAGUUCAUUGAACUUAUUAAAUA
This is a non-coding RNA of Zootermopsis nevadensis, 3472 nucleotides long. Lineage: Eukaryota; Metazoa; Arthropoda; Insecta; Blattodea; Termopsidae. The record is from RefSeq and is a predicted model, not a curated record.